ACGCUCGACACCUACGGGGGCAGCAGUGGGGAAUAUUGCACAAUGGGGGAAACCCUGAUGCAGCGACGCCGCGUGGAGGAAGAAGGUCUUCGGAUUGUAAACUCCUGUUGUUGGGGAAAAAGAGGAUGGUACCCAACAAGGAAGUGACGGCUAACUACGUGCAGCAGCCGCGUAAUCUGAGCGGGCUGGCAAGGC
Molecule: ribosomal RNA, 195 nt
Filed under: uncultured bacterium
Lineage: Bacteria
Description: partial 16S ribosomal RNA
Rfam family: Bacterial small subunit ribosomal RNA
Source: RNAcentral